Long non-coding RNA from Esox lucius (northern pike), 949 nucleotides. RefSeq lists it as uncharacterized. Lineage: Eukaryota; Metazoa; Chordata; Actinopteri; Esociformes; Esocidae. The record is from RefSeq and is a predicted model, not a curated record. The transcript is spliced from 3 exons.
GCAGCUUUAUCUACAUCCCGACAUACCGUUGCUGACAUACGCUACGGAUAGCUUUUGAACAUUCAACAGUCAAUUGUGGUCGUCCGGUGCUGUGACUAUUAUUAUACCGAACGUUCUUCCUGUGCAACAUUUUGUAUUUAAUCAUUUGGGCGAAUUAGUAAACCAUUGAUGGUCAUUCAUUGCGGCCUGAGAGGGAAAACCAGUGAAGGAUUGGCGUCAGUGAUACAUUAUAGCUACUAGAACCUGCCGCCAUAGAGGAACUAUGUUGACUAGCUUCGAGCAACUAAAUUAGCUAGAAAUGAGCUCACCUUUAGUUAUGGAAGGUUACGGGUUUAAAGAGACAGGAAACUCCUUAGACCUGGUUAAAAAUGUUUCUAGUCAACAAAGGCACAUUUUCUUACCUUAGCGAGGAACGAAUUCAAAUCCCCAGAUGGGCUUGUGAGGGCUCACAAGGACAAGGUGGAGAUACCAACCAGGCCGCAGACACCUUUCUGAAGCUCAAGGACAACGUGGAGAUACCAAACAGGCCGCAGACACCUUUCUGAAGCUCAAAUAGAAUAUUACCUACCAGCAGUGUCAAAAAGAUUUUGGUGGAGCCGUUUACAUUUGUACUGGUCCAGGGUGUUGACUUAAUCUCUCUUACUGUAGUGACUUAAUUAUAAAAUGUAUCUAUUGCCUGUGGUAAUUUACAUUGGUAUGGCUGAGUAAUUGCUUAUUAUCUAGAAAGAGACGGCAAGGACAAAGCCAUAGACCACGGAUAUAGCAUGCUUUAUACUAACACAUCAUUGGUCUUAAACAGCCCACUACAAAAGCAAUUAACCUCAACGACCAUCAAGGGGAUACAGUAAUUGACUAUGUUAACAUUUGCUGUCCGGCCAAUGUUUUGAAGUUUCUAAUUAACAUUAUCAGUAAUGAUGCGAUGCACAUGAUUAAAGCUCAUGGCACAAUG